GCGCGAUUGGCGUAAUUGGUAGCCGCGCCAGACUUAGGAUCUGGUUCCGUAAGGAGUGGGGGUUCGAGUCCCCCAUCGCGCA
Molecule: transfer RNA, 82 nt
Filed under: Muribaculaceae bacterium Isolate-013 (NCI)
Lineage: Bacteria; Pseudomonadati; Bacteroidota; Bacteroidia; Bacteroidales; Muribaculaceae
Description: tRNA-Leu
Rfam family: tRNA
About the family: Transfer RNA (tRNA) molecules are approximately 80 nucleotides in length. Their secondary structure includes four short double-helical elements and three loops (D, anti-codon, and T loops). Further hydrogen bonds mediate the characteristic L-shaped molecular structure. tRNAs have two regions of fundamental functional importance: the anti-codon, which is responsible for specific mRNA codon recognition, and the 3' end, to which the tRNAs corresponding amino acid is attached (by aminoacyl-tRNA synthetases). tRNAs cope with the degeneracy of the genetic code in two manners: having more than one tRNA (with a specific anti-codon) for a particular amino acid; and 'wobble' base-pairing, i.e. permitting non-standard base-pairing at the 3rd anti-codon position.
Source: RNAcentral